Toxorhynchites rutilus septentrionalis is the source of this 1325-nucleotide long non-coding RNA. RefSeq lists it as uncharacterized. The transcript has 3 exons. The record is from RefSeq and is a predicted model, not a curated record. NCBI's taxonomy places the organism in Eukaryota, Metazoa, Arthropoda, Insecta, Diptera, Culicidae.
AACAAACACUGCCCAACCUCGCAUACAACCACUCAACUUAAAGUCACUCAAUCAACCACUUGGACGCAUCCCCCUUCACCACUCAAUAUCGCACGUCUUUAUCAGGGCCACAGUCACACUUCCAUCAUUCAUUCCUCUUCCACCUGUUCCUACGGUAUUCGGUCUAAAACGUAUGUGCGUGCCUUCUAACUGUUUUGAAUUUUCUCAAAACAGAAAAAGGGAAAUACAUUUCCUGGUUUUAAUCCAUCUACUUAAUUAUAUGUCACGGAUCAUAUAAUUAAUAAGAAAAAUAUCUUGAAAUUGAGCGCAUUCUGACUCCUGACUUCCACCCUGAGUGAUGCGGCCAGACUGAGUUACUCCGCAUCAACACUCACAUAUGUCACAUGAUAGUCACUCAGCACAUUGAACUCAUUGUCAAUUCUAGUGGGUGAUAAAUUUUCAGACAUGUCAAUCCUCUUAGGACAGGGUAAGUAACGUGUGUUCCGCUCGUUGGAGCUCGUCGUAGCGGCUUAUAGAAGUGAAAAUCCAGGUAAACCAUUCAAUUUUCGAUCUCUGGAAUAAUUAUCAUGUGCUAAACAUAACCUCAAAUAUGGUUAACCUGGCUUCAACAGGUUUGCUGGCCAAAUCCCGAUAUUUUUGCCAGCGAGGUCAGAUAAUUCAUAGGAAGAACUACCGUGCUUUUUUACGACUUUACAAGGAAUGUACUGACAACCCAACUUUGCGUUAUAGCCUUCUAACGCGUUGGAAAGUUUUUGAUUCUUCCGGUACACCAAUUGUCCUUCAGAAAAAGGUCCUCUUCGAUGUUUUCAGUAAUACAGGGAUUUCGAAAGUCAGUGCCUGAUCUAGCCAUUUCAUGACCGUGUAUGAUGAAAUAAGGCGAUGCACCUGUCGAGGAAUGACGAGUUGUGUUAAGGAUGCAUUCAACAUCUGAAAUUCUUUCAUCCCAGGUUCGUUGAUCAUUCUUCACAUAUGCUCUUAUAGCUGCAUUAAUGCUUCGAUUUACACGCUCCACUGGGUUCGCUUGGGAGUGGUACUUGGAGUUAAGCCAAUGUUUAACAUUAUUUUCCGUAAGGAACUUUUUGAAUUCCUUGGAAACAAAAGUAGUGGCAUUAUCGCUCAAUAAAAUUUCUGGUGUACCAUUCCUGGCGAACCAGUGGUCCCGUAAAAUCGAACAGAGUGUAGUAGCUUGUAUUUUACGAAUUGGAUGCAGUAAUACCCACUUGGUAAAUACAUCCAAAACAACCAACAGAUGUUGAUUUCCAUGUUUGCUCCUGGGGAGGGGACCAAUGAAAUCCACUGAUAUCAUCCUCCAGGGAUCAGUAGUU